CACUCUAAGGUGACUGCCGGUGACAAACCGGAGGAAGGUGGGGAUGACGUCAAAUCAUCAUGCCCCUUAUGACCUGGGCUACACACGUGCUACAAUGGAUGGUACAAAGGGCUGCAAGACCGCGAGGUCAAGCCAAUCCCAUAAAACCAUUCUCAGUUCGGAUUGUAGGCUGCAACUCGCCUACAUGAAGCUGGAAUCGCUAGUAAUCGCGGAUCAGCAUGCCGCGGUGAAUACGUUCCCGGGCCUUGUACACACCGCCCGUCACACCACGAGAGUUUGUAACACCCGAAGUCGGUGGAGUAACCGUAAGGAGCUAGCCGCCUAAGGUGGGACAGAUGAUUGGGGUGAAGUCGUAACAAGGUAGCCGUAUCGGAAGGUGCGGCUGGAUCACCUCCUUU
Molecule: ribosomal RNA, 398 nt
Filed under: Bacillus sp. FJAT-26377
Lineage: Bacteria; Bacillati; Bacillota; Bacilli; Caryophanales; Bacillaceae
Description: bacterial SSU rRNA
Rfam family: Bacterial small subunit ribosomal RNA
Source: RNAcentral